This 440-nucleotide ribosomal RNA is filed under the name uncultured bacterium. RNAcentral's name for it is "partial 16S ribosomal RNA". It matches the Rfam family "Bacterial small subunit ribosomal RNA", at positions 338 to 795 of the family's 1533-position model. The record is from RNAcentral.
CCUACGGGAGGCAGCAGUGGGGAAUAUUGGUCAAUGGGGGGAACCCUGAUCCAGCGACGCCGCGUGAGUGAAGAAGUAUUUCGGUAUGUAAAGCUUCAUCAGCAGGGAGAAAAAUGACGGUACCUGACUAUGAAGCCCCGGCUAACUACGUGCAAGCAGCCGCGGGAAUAUGGAGGGGGCCAGCGUUAUCCGGAUUUACUGGGUGUAAAGGGGGCGUAGGCGGUGCAGCUAGUCUGAUGUGAAAGGUCGGGGCCCAACCCCGGGACUGCAUUGGAAACUGUUGAACUGGAGUACAGGAGAGGUAAGCGGAAUGCGUAGUGUAGCGGUGAAAGGCGUAGAUAUUAGGAGGAACACCAGUGGCGAAGGCGGCUUACUGGCCUGUAACUGACGUUGAGGCUCGAAAGCGUGGGGAGCAAACAGGAUUAGAUACCCCUGUAGUC